AUGCUGAAAGGCCUGGGAAUAUAUUUCCCAAAGGAAGAAUUACAGGAGGUGCUUACAUCCAUUCCUCUUGAUAUAGAAGAAGGCCCCCUGAAAGCUCUGGCUGCCAUUAGAAAAAAUGUGGUCACUCCUGAUGAUCUAGGCUCCAUCCUGAAAAAUAUAGGAGUUCCAUUACCUCAAGAUGCACUUCAAAGAUCAGUGCAGAAUGUGGCUCUCAUGGAGGAUGGAAAAGUAAAUUUAGAAGAAUUUAUUGGCAAUUUAAUCAAUCCAGGAUCUUCACCUCUACCUGAAACUGAUAAAGACAUGAAUGAGAAGAAUGGGAUAAAAGAUGGGAGGUCAUCUGCUGGUGAGUGA
This 351-nucleotide long non-coding RNA is filed under the name Canis lupus familiaris (dog). Its description in RNAcentral is "lncRNA (ENSCAFG00040009458.1)". Lineage: Eukaryota; Metazoa; Chordata; Mammalia; Carnivora; Canidae. The record is from RNAcentral.